CAUGGAGGGUGAGAAUCCCGUUCAUGGUUAAUCUUAAGGAAGCUCUACGAUACGUUUUCCAAGAGUCGAGUUGUUUGGGAUUGCAGCUCAAAAUGGGAGGUAAAUUUCUCCUAAGGCUAAAUAUUGGCGAGAGACCGAUAGCGAACAAGUACCGUGAGGGAAAGAUGAAAAGAACUUUGAAAAGAGAGUUAAACAGUACGUGAAAUUGUUGAAAGGGAAACGAUUGAAGUCAGUCAUACCAACGGGAAAUCAACCUUUUGAGCUUGGUUUCGUGGGUUUUGAAGAGUUUCAAAGCCUUCGGAUUCGCGAGAUUGGGAUCUCUCGGUGUAAUUUCUCGUACGGUUAGUCAACAUCGGUUUUGAAUGUCAUAAAAUGACUGGAGGAAUGUAGCUUCGAUCUCGUAUUGAAGUGUUAUAGCCUUUGGUAGAUGUGAUGUUUGAGACCGAGGAUUGCAACGGGUACCCUUCAGGGCUAUUCGUCUGAUCUCUGAUACGUUGCCUUGAUGUUGAAAGCUUGCUUAUGAUGUUAGGGUAUUACGGUCAAAAGGUUAGAACGGAUUAAAUUCGUUAAGGAUGUUGACGUAAUGG
This 587-nucleotide ribosomal RNA is filed under the name uncultured Funneliformis. RNAcentral's name for it is "LSU rRNA". It matches the Rfam family "Eukaryotic large subunit ribosomal RNA", at positions 204 to 637 of the family's 3401-position model. The record is from RNAcentral. Lineage: Eukaryota; Fungi; Glomeromycota; Glomeromycetes; Glomerales; Glomeraceae.